AGCAGCCGCGGUAAUUCCAGCUCCAAUAGCGUAUAUUAAAGUUGUUGCAGUUAAAAAAGCUCGUAGUUGAAUUUCGGGGUCAGUAGGCUGGUCGUGCCACAGGUAUGUACUGGUCUCACUGAUUCCUCCUUCCUGAUGAACCGUAAUGCCAUUAAUUCGGUGUUGCGGGGAAUCUGGACUGUUACUUUGAAAAAAUUAGAGUGUUUAAAGCAGGCUAACGCUUGAAUACAUUAGCAUGGAAUAAUGAAAUAGGACGUUCGAUCUUAUUUUGUUGGUUUCUAAGAUUGACGUAAUGAUUAAUAGGGAUAUUGGGGGCAUUAGUAUUCAAUUGUCAGAGGUGAAAUUCUUGGAUUUAUUGAAGACUAACUACUGCGAAAGCAUUUGCCAAGGAUGUUUUCAUUAAUCAAGAACGAAAGUUAGGGGAUCGAAGUACGAUCAGAUACCGUCGUAGUCUUAACCAUAAACUAUGCCGACUAGGGAUCGGAUGAUGUUAAUUUUUUUAAUGUACUCAUUCGGUUCG
This 520-nucleotide ribosomal RNA is filed under the name uncultured Glomus. Its description in RNAcentral is "SSU rRNA". It matches the Rfam family "Eukaryotic small subunit ribosomal RNA", at positions 569 to 1087 of the family's 1831-position model. The record is from RNAcentral. Lineage: Eukaryota; Fungi; Glomeromycota; Glomeromycetes; Glomerales; Glomeraceae.